This 419-nucleotide ribosomal RNA is filed under the name uncultured Microbotryomycetes. RNAcentral's name for it is "LSU rRNA". It matches the Rfam family "Eukaryotic large subunit ribosomal RNA", at positions 103 to 533 of the family's 3401-position model. The record is from RNAcentral. Lineage: Eukaryota; Fungi; Basidiomycota; Microbotryomycetes.
AAGAGCUCAAAUUUGUAAUCUGUUACUUUCAGUAACCGAGUUGUAAUCUCGAGAAGUAUUUUCCGCGUUGGACCGCACACAAGUCUGUUGGAAUACAGCGUCAUAGUGGUGAGAACCCCGUAUCUGGUGCGGAUGCCCAAUGCUUUGUGAUAUACUUUCGAAGAGUCGAGUUGUUUGGGAAUGCAGCUCAAAUUGGGUGGUAAAUUCCAUCUAAAGCUAAAUAUUGGCGAGAGACCGAUAGCGAACAAGUACCGUGAGGGAAAGAUGAAAAGCACUUUGGAAAGAGAGUUAACAGUACGUGAAAUUGUUGGAAGGGAAACGCUUGAAGUCAGACUUGCAUUUUGGAGUUCAACCGCAAGGUGUAUUCUUCAAUUUCGCAGGCCAGCAUCAGUUUUCGGGGGUGGAAAAUCGUAAUUGGA